AAGUCGUAACAAGGUUUCCGUAGGUGAACCUGCGGAAGGAUCAUUACAAGUGAGGGCUACCCGAACGCUGGAAACAGCGGGUUAGGAGCUUUACACCCCACCCCGUGCUUACAUACUAUUUGUUGCUUUUGGCGGGGCCGUGGCCUCCACUGCGGGCUCUGCCCGUGUGUGCCCGCCAGAGGACCAAACUCUGAAUGUUAGUGAUGUCUGAGUACUAUCUAAUAGUUAAAA
Molecule: unclassified non-coding RNA, 231 nt
Filed under: plant metagenome
Description: partial contains small subunit ribosomal RNA and internal transcribed spacer 1
Rfam family: Eukaryotic small subunit ribosomal RNA (bases 1-46)
Source: RNAcentral